Molecule: ribosomal RNA, 425 nt
Filed under: uncultured bacterium
Lineage: Bacteria
Description: bacterial SSU rRNA
Rfam family: Bacterial small subunit ribosomal RNA
Source: RNAcentral
UUUACGGUCAAAAAGGACGAUGACUUAGUGGCGGACGGGUGAGUAAUGCAUGAGCAACCUGCCUUGGGAAGGGGGACAACAGCUGAAACGGCUGCUAAUACCGCAUAAAGUCACCGGGAGGCAUCUUCCGGAGACCAAAGAUUUAUCGCUCUGAGAUGGGCUCAUGUCUGAUUAGUUAGUUGGCAGGGCAACGGCCUACCAAGACUGCGAUCAGUAGCCGGACUGAGAGGUUGAACGGCCACAUUGGGACUGAGAUACGGCCCAGACUCCUACGGGAGGCAGCAGUGGGGAAUAUUGGGCAAUGGGCGAAAGCCUGACCCAGCAACGCCGCGUGAAGGAAGAAGGCCUUCGGGUUGUAAACUUCUUUUGUGGGGAACGAAGGAUGUGACGGUACCUCACGAAUAAGCCACGGCUAACUACGUGCC